This is a long non-coding RNA of Pezoporus flaviventris, 840 nucleotides long. RefSeq lists it as uncharacterized. The transcript has 2 exons. The record is from RefSeq and is a predicted model, not a curated record. NCBI's taxonomy places the organism in Eukaryota, Metazoa, Chordata, Aves, Psittaciformes, Psittacidae.
CGGUGGUUGUGGGUGGUGGAAGAUGGGGCGGGGGGGACAUGGAGAAGGUGCAAAAAGGCCCCGCUGGCUGCUUCCACCAUGGGCUGCGAUAGGUUUUUCCCCUUGUGCAUCUUGCGCAAUGCGUUUUAUGAGUAAAUUACGCGGAGCCUCCGAGGGAGGAAUCCGCAGCUUUACUGGCAAUGUAAAUAAAGAGGCGGGAGGGGGAAAGGGAGGCGGAGGAUGCGCCCCUGCGCAAGUGCUUAGGUUUACUCUCCUUUUGUUUUGCAUUGUUGAUUUUUCCUGCCUUUAAUUGCUUUAAUUUCUUUUAUGCGCGCUUUGAUGCUAAACACUAUUUGGGGCUGAUGAAAGAGUUCCAGUCCGCAGGAAAGUAAUUGAAGGGCGGAGGGAGAACCGAGACAAAAUAAAAUCCUAAAGGCACGGCGAAAUAGAUAGAGUUUCUGCAAAUUAGUUACGAGAAGAAGAAAAUUAAAACCAGGAGCGGAAAGACCAUUUGGGGUGAUUCUGGCUUCUUUACGUUCGCCUUUUAUGCCUUGUCUUCUUCAGUCACAGCGCCAGCGCAGUCACAGGGGCAGAAUGGAGACCAAUCCACCUUUAGAGCCCCGAAUGUCAAUUUUACAUUACUGUAUUCGCCAAAUCUAUUGGAAAGAGACUUGAACAACGAAGAAAUCCAGAUAAAAAUAUACACAGAGGAAAGAGCAUAGCAGGGAGAAAAGAACCGCGGAGGUUGCAGGGAGAAGGAGUAACCAUCAUUCCUAUUAUGUACAGGACUCUAUAUGCUAAGCAGAAUUUGCAUUCAGACUUUUCAGAUCACGUUUUCUAAAUUAAAGGUGCUAAACACGA